GACGAACGCUGGCGGCGUGCUUAACACAUGCAAGUCGAACGGAAAGGCCCUGCUUUUGUGGGGUGCUCGAGUGGCGAACGGGUGAGUAACACGUGAGUAACCUGCCCUGGACUUUGGGAUAACUUCAGGAAACUGGGGCUAAUACCGGAUAGGAGCUCCUGCUGCAUGGUGGGGGUUGGAAAGUUUCGGCGGUUGGGGAUGGACUCGCGGCUUAUCAGCUUGUUGGUGGGGUAGUGGCUUACCAAGGCUUUGACGGGUAGCCGGCCUGAGAGGGUGACCGGCCACAUUGGGACUGAGAUACGGCCCAGACUCCUACGGGAGGCAGCAGUGGGGAAUAUUGCACAAUGGGCGGAAGCCUGAUGAAGCAACGCCGCGUGCGGGAUGACGGCCUUCGGGUUGUAAACCGCUUUCGCCUGUGACGAAGCGUGAGUGACGGUAAUGGGUAAAGAAGCACCGGCUAACUACGUG
RNAcentral lists this ribosomal RNA (468 nucleotides) under uncultured bacterium. RNAcentral's name for it is "partial 16S ribosomal RNA". It matches the Rfam family "Bacterial small subunit ribosomal RNA", at positions 28 to 507 of the family's 1533-position model. The record is from RNAcentral.